UUCACAUUUAAAGAUUUUAAGCUAUGCUAUGCUAUUAAAAUGUGAGAUGUGGUGAUGGGUUAAUCAAAACCAUUUUUGGAUUACGAUCAUAAAUAUAGUGAAAUAUGCUUGGGUUAGGGUUUAGAUUAAAAUUAAGUCAUGUUGUGUUGAUUAUAUCCUGUGGUUCUGUUUUGCCAACUUGGAAUUAUAAGGUUCUUUUGUAGAUAAAACCUUUUUGUUUUCUAAAAAAAAAGUCCCAAAAUGUACACAUCUUAAAAUAAAUCACAAUGUAAAUAUGUUGUCAUAGAAUAAGAAUGUGUGAAUAACUCAAUUCUGACAAAAGUGUCAGAUAGAACCUUAUAAUUCCAAGGUGAUGGUAAUUGUAAUGAUGGGUCGAAUGCGUGAGGAUCCAUUUGCAGCUUGUUUAUUAAAAGUACUUACAGAGUAGACAGGGCAAAGGCAGAGACACAAACAGGGACAGGCAAUGGUCGAGGCAGGCGGCAGACAAGCAGAGUAAAGUCACAGGCAAUGGUCAGGGCAGGCGGCAAACAAACACAGUCCAAUAAACAGUCCAAUGGCAACAGAAAUACAAUCCACAAGAAAACGCUCAGAAGUGAUCACCGGGGCAAAUCAAGACUUCACAAAGGGUGUGUGUGUGUGUGUGUCUUUUAUAGUCCAGGUAAUGAUUUGCAGGUGUGUGUGGCACUUGGUGAUUGGUGUGGAGUGUGCAGGUGAUUGGAAGGGAGGAUUAUGGGAAAUGGAGUCCAGGAACAGACAGUGAUCGUGACAGUAAUACAGAAUGUUUAAACAAACUUGUAGAAGUUUAAUGUUUUUAAACCAGCUUGAAUAUGUGGGUUAACAUUUAUAGUAGUGUCUACAUAUGUUAUGAAAUGUUAGAUACAUUUCGUACAGUAAAAAAUGCAUUCAGACCUUUUCAAUUUUUUUUCACAUUUUGUUGCGUUGCGGCUUUAUGCUUAAAUGCUUUAAAUUCUUUCACUCAUUCUUUCACUCAAAAUUCUUCACUCCAUACCCUAUAAGGUCAAAGCAAAAUACAGAUUUGAUUAACACUUUAUUUUGAUGGUUCCCCAACAGACAUUCUACUGACUAAAAGUAACUUUGCACAUGUCAACUUAUUCUACUAACACUACCCCUACCCUAAAAGUCUACUAAUACUCAGCUAAUACUCUAACAUUGACAUAGAGGUGAAACAUUUCUUAUAGUCAACAGAAUGUCUUAAAGUGUAACCCAGAUUUGAUAUAACUUUGCAAAUUUAUUAAAAAUCAAAAAACUGAAAUAUCACACUGACAUAACUAUUUAGACCCUUUGACAUUUGAAAUUUAGCUUAGGUGCAACCCAUUUCUCUGUAUCAUCUUUGAGAUAUUUCUACACAUUGAUUGGAGUAAAUCUGAUCAAAUUCAAUUGAUUGGACAUGAUUUUUUUUUUUUUUUUUUUUUUUGUAUGUGAAUGCUCUUUUACCACCUGACAUGGAAUCUCUUGUUUCUUUUCCCAAAUCUUCACUCAGGUCUCACCCAUUUUUGCAAGGGAUUGUAAACGUUUCUUCCUUUGAUUCGCUUUUAAUUAUAUUCGCAUUCUUUACUGUGGUAAAGUAUAAACACGCUGUAGGACAGAUACAUUUUUGCUUGCACGUCAAAUUCUAUUUAACACACUUUGUGCUUGUUACUAGACUUGGUAUGGCAUGUUAUUUGUAUAGCGCAUUUCGCACACGGUGAUUUUAGUUUUGCUUUUUUUGGCAGCGCAAAAUCAAACAUAGCCUAAAUGUCUUGCCCCUGCGGAAGAUAAAAUUCGCUUUUCAGACCUUUUACAACAAGUGUCAGUUGUUUUGAAAAUCAGGAGAAAACAUGGAGAUAUUAGAAAAGAGAUGGUCCCUUUCCUGCUUGUGUCCCGGAUUCCAUCAAAUGAGUUUAAGGUAUGAAUACUUAUGCAAUGUGAUAUUUCAGUUUUAUUAUUUUUAAUAAUUUUACAUAGAUAUCACAAAACUGUUUUUUCAAUGUCAUUAUAGGGUAUGGAGUAUAGAUUGAUGUGGAAAAAUGAGAGAAAAUUUUAGCAUAAGGCAACAAAAUGUGGAGAAAAAAAAUGAAAACACUUGAAAUUGACAACACUUUCCAAAAUAUCAUCAGCCACAGAAGACAAGUGGCUAGACUGAAUAGUGAUGAAAAAAAAAGUUAACCUAAUCAAACUGAACCAUAUGAUGAUGUUAAUUUAAGUUUAUCUUUUCUCUAGAUGCUCCAACCUCAGCUGAUGAGACUGAAGGCAACAUUGACACAGCUAAUCUGACAGCAGUAGUGAUGGCCACAAUAGUGUCUCUGUGUGUCCUCAUAUCACUGAUCAUCUGUGUGAUUCUUUAUUUCAGAAAACGAAAGCAGAAUAUCAACAGCCAAACUGAAUUGAACUGCAUUUAUUCCACAUAUUAUUCUGAAAUGUCAGGAGGAUUGGAUGUCCCGUUGUAUUCUGUAGUUCAACGUAGAUGAAUCAUGACUCCCUGUAGGUUACUACAACACAAUAAUCAUUAAAUUGUAAUUAUAUAAUAAAUAGAAUAAUCAUUAAAUUAAAUAAUUCAUUUUUCAUCUGUCCUGAGCUACACAAAACAUGUUGACAAUUAAGCUGGAAUAAAUCACAUCAAAUUGGUUUGGACUAAUUUAUGUAAAAUAUGCCCAAUUUUAUGUGAAAUAUGCCAAAUGUAAUACUGUACUGCUUGUCCUCUUCAGUCUGAAUUUAAUGACUAGCAUAAUUUUGUAAAACACAUCACAAGAUAUGUUGUAGCUUGCAUUGCCAUUUUUGCAUUGCUGAGUUUCACAGAAUUUAUUAUCUCACUUCAUAACAUGGCCAAAAAUAUAAAUGCAGUAUGCACACAUCUGCAAAUGUGCAUGAUUCAAACAAUACUUUUUUUCCUUUUUCUUUGACCAAAUUAUUUUUUUAACAUUAUCUCACAAGAGUUGGUGUGAACUGCGAAAAAGUGAAGCUCCUGCAUGCAAACCAGAUGACAAUAUAAUGCUGUGAAAUAAAACAGUUUUUAAUGAUUUUUUGUUUGUUUGUUUUUUACUCAGUGUAAUGCAUCUGGCAAAUUUUUAUAAAUGAUUUAGUAUUACAAUGAAAAUGAUUUUUUCUAUGUAUCAUUUUAAUAAAUAAAACAAUUUAAAUUUAAACACAAUUUUAUAAGAUUUAAUAGCCAUGGACAGCUAGAAGACCUUGCCGUAUAAGGACUGCUAUAAACAGACUUUACAUUCUGUAGUACUACAAGUCUGUAAAAAUACAGCCCAAUGUGUUUUGUUAAUAUGAAGGAUUUUUUCAUUGCAUUGUGAAA
This is a long non-coding RNA of Ctenopharyngodon idella (grass carp), 3301 nucleotides long. RefSeq lists it as uncharacterized. The transcript is spliced from 3 exons. Lineage: Eukaryota; Metazoa; Chordata; Actinopteri; Cypriniformes; Xenocyprididae. The record is from RefSeq and is a predicted model, not a curated record.